AUUGAACGCUGGCGGCAUGCUUUACACAUGCAAGUCGAACGGUAACAGGCCGCAAGGUGCUGACGAGUGGCGAACGGGUGAGUAAUGCAUCGGAACGUGCCCAGUCGUGGGGGAUAACUACUCGAAAGAGUAGCUAAUACCGCAUACGAUCUAUGGAUGACAGCGGGGGACCGUAAGGCCUCGCGCGAUUGGAGCGGCCGAUGUCAGAUUAGGUAGUUGGUGGGGUAAAGGCUCACCAAGCCAACGAUCUGUAGCUGGUCUGAGAGGACGACCAGCCACACUGGGACUGAGACACGGCCCAGACUCCUGCGGGAGGCAGCAGUGGGGAAUUUUGGACAAUGGGCGCAAGCCUGAUCCAGCAAUGCCGCGUGCAGGAAGAAGGCCUUCGGGUUGUAAACUGCUUUUGUACGGAACGAAACGGCUCUGGUUAAUACCCGGGGCUAAUGACGGUACCGUAAGAAUAAGCACCGGCUAACUACGUG
Molecule: ribosomal RNA, 482 nt
Filed under: uncultured bacterium
Lineage: Bacteria
Description: partial 16S ribosomal RNA
Rfam family: Bacterial small subunit ribosomal RNA
Source: RNAcentral